Molecule: unclassified non-coding RNA, 5701 nt
Filed under: Limulus polyphemus (Atlantic horseshoe crab)
Lineage: Eukaryota; Metazoa; Arthropoda; Merostomata; Xiphosura; Limulidae
Description: transcription factor E2F5-like, transcript variant X1
Source: RNAcentral
GUUAAAAUUUUUUUACAUCGUAUAUUUUUAACAGAUCGCAUGAAAAAGCGAGAUUUAACGAGAAGUUAACGGCCAUGGCAAAGAGAAAUUAAAAUGGCGGACAUAGGCACACCUAGUAGGCAUGAGAAAAGUUUAGGGCUAUUAACAACAAAAUUUGUGUCUCUACUACAAGAAGCUAAAGAUGGUGUUCUAGAUUUGAAAAUGGCAGCAGACACGCUUGCUGUGCGACAAAAAAGAAGGAUUUAUGAUAUAACCAAUGUACUGGAAGGGAUUGGAUUAAUCGAAAAGAAGUCGAAGAACAGUAUUCAGUGGAAGGGGGCAGGACCUGGAUGUAACACUAGGGAAAUCUCUGAACGUCUAGUGGCUUUAAAAGAGGAACUUCGCCUGCUUGAACAGACAGAAGAAGAACUCGACCUCCACCACUGUUGGGCACAGCAGAGUAUUCGAAAUAUCACAGAAGACCAAACAAAUUUCCAGCUAGCCUACGUCAGUCAUGAUGACAUCUGUCGUUGUUUCGAAGGUGAUACUCUACUAGCAAUACAAGCCCCUUCGGGAACUCAGUUGGAAGUGCCUCUACUAGAGGAGUAUGGAUCACAGAAGAAGAAAUAUCAGACUCAUCUGAAGUCAAAUUCUGGACCUAUUAAUGUCCUACUGGUAAAUAAAGAAAGUGAUUCAUCCAGUCCUGUUGUAGUUCAGGUCCCCCCUCCUUGUGAAGAUCCAAAUGAUAUGUCGUCAACUUUAAAUACAGAAGACAAUGGUUCUCUGACUGCUGCUUCAUCAUUGGAAGAACAGAUGACACCAUCUUCAAAUACUCGUGCUUCUGCCCGACAGUUACAACAGCAACAAGUGUCAUCCCCAAAAUCUACAACAGAACUGAUAGAGGAAUUGAUGGAAGUUCAAGCUAGCUCUUGCCCACCAGUCACACGUAUGUCUACAAGACAGUCACAAAGGAAAUCAAACCAACGGCAAACUGGAACUUCCAGUAGGAAAACGGGGAAGCUAGAAACUUCUCAAACGCCUGUUGAAGCCAGUGCUAAAAUAGAAAUCACUGCAGAUGGAGCCACUGGAAGUGUGGAAAAAGAGACAAAAGAACUUUCAGAUGAAUUCUUAGAUCCUACUAAAGUUACGGCCAUUGACCAGGAUUUCCUUGAUGAACUGAUAUCCUCAGAUAUGUUUUCUCCAUUACUGAGGCUUAGCCCACCUCCCAGUGACAGAGACUACUGCUUCAACCUGUGUGACACUGAGGGUGUCUGUGAUCUAUUUGAUGUACAUAUGAUUCCCUUUUGACUUGUAGAGUUGAAUGUGGUUUCAUUGCAUUUAUUAUUACAUAAUACCUCAUUUUCCUGUUUGAGGAAAGGACACACAAGCAGCAACUGGUUUGUUUCAGAUGUCUUUCUGGUCAUUUUGGUCAGUGUGAGAUAUAUUUAUGUAAUGUUACUGAGAAAAUUUUGUUAACAAAUAGACUCCUGUUUCAUCAUUUUUUCCACUCAUUUUGGACUCUGGAUCAUUUGCGUCUGAACAAUGAUGUCGUGAACAACAGAACUCGGUGUGAUUAAUUCAAUGUUAAUGGUGGGCACUGUCCGAUUAAGUGUCAUCAGUACUUCAGGUAUUAGCGCUUUUCAUCACAUGGCAUGGUCAUGUCAGAUAUUGAUAUCAGUUCAGAUGUUGUUAAUAUGGUCACAUUAUCUGUUUUUGAUUCUUUAUAUGGUCAGUUCAAGUGAUAUUAAAGAAGAAUGUUAUAUAUAACACUGUCGUGAAGUAGGUACCAAAUCAAUGGUUGACUAAAAUAUAUAUAUAUAUUUAAGAACAUUUUUUUAUUUUGUUUUUCUUGUAUAUGUAGCUUUUUAAAAUUAAUUAAGCAGACACGUUGAUAUUCAGUAUAUUUGUGUUUUGUUUUAAAUGUCCAAGUUUUGUUAUCCACUCGGACUUUUUUAGCAUUAGGAAGUUUUAAUAAACAUGCGUUAAAGACGUCUUUAAGCACGUACUGACGGGUGUUAUAACUUAUGCCAUGUAACAUCUACACCGAUAUGUUUUUUAUAAUAAUGAUGAAUAAGUUUCACAUUGUAUGUUUUAACAGGAACAGAGUUGUAGUUUUCAUAAUUGUAGAUAUAAUGGUGAAGUUAUAAUAAUUAUUGUAAACACUUUCUGUGGAGAAGGCUUUUCAGAAGAUUUUUUCUUUAUAUAUAUAUAUACACACACAUACCAGAUAGUAUAAAAUACAAGUUACCAUUUCAUGGUAUUACUAAGGGUAGUUUAUCUUUUCCUUACAGUGUUUGCUCCCUCUAUCUUUUUUUUUUUUUUAACAACUGGCAGGAAAUUAGUUUUCAAAAAUAACUUGAUAGAAAACAGUUACCAUAGGCUUGCUUUAAUUCUUUCACUAUAAAGUACGUUUUUUUUUGAGGAUUAUUAAAGUCAUGCUUUAGAGAUUGGUAAUUCAAGUGUACAAACAACAACAAAAUUUCGACAUAUUAAGAAUAUUUAACCAACACUACAAGUAUAUUUUCAAUCACGAUCUUGGGGCAGCAUUGAAUGUAUUAAAAUUUGUUUAGUAAUCUGAUUGAACUAUAACAAAUAUAAAAUAGUUAAAAUUUGGUAAGAGCCGUAAGGUGUUAUGCAUAAAACAGGAGUACUCUCCAUACGUCGGCUAUAUUGCAUUUAUAGACAUCAAAGGAGUUAUUUAGUUCCUAGUUAGUGAUGUAAAUAUUGCUUGUAAGUUUCCUUAGAGAUGUAUAUAAAAGUAAAUGAAAAAAAAACAACAUUCCAGAACAGUAAGUAUCGGAAAGCAUUUUAGUGUCAUUCUUCUAUACAAACAGCUUAGUGUUCCCGUUGAUGAUGUAAAGAGUUUGGGUGUAAGUUUUUGGAAGAUAUUAUUAAAUGUUCAGAAACAGACAUAAAACAACUCACUUUGUGACCCCGGAGAAUGGUGGAAUAUAUUCUAGUUUGGGUUUGAUGUACAACGCUAGAUUUCUGAUAUCAUUAAGCUCCUUUUGUAGGCAUCAAAACUAUUACUUGUAUCCAGGAUAUAUACUUCCAGGGAUUCCUGCUAGAAGAAAUAUAUUAAUGUCUGUCGAAAGGUAAUGGGGAGGGGGGCAUUUUGAAGAAGGUCGUAAAAAUGACAAGUCAAAAAAUUCCAUGUCCUGCUUCAUCACUUUUUGUAAUUUUUUGUCAAGUAGUGCCGAGGCAUUUUCCACAAACAUGACAAUGUGUUACUUGUCUUACAGUUAUAAUACACAGUGCUGUUUGAUACAGUGACCAAAAAUAAUUAGCCACAGCACUGAACAUAAUGCAAAGUUGAGCAGUUACCCAAAAAUUGGGGUCUCUCAUUAUUGAUUUUCAUAAGUGAGUAACGACCUUCAACUAUAGAAUAUCAGGGCAAGUUUUCAUGCAAUUACAGAAUGACUUGGGGGGGGGGGUGGAGAAAUCCUUGGAUCAUCCAGGGGAAAACAUUUGUUUACCAGGUAUAAUAAUGGGGUCAUGCGAACUGUGACUUCACAUCAGAUUUUUUUACAACUUAAUAAAUAAAAUAUUGUGAAUAAAUAGAUGAAUUUGCCUUAACUUAGGUUUUGUUUCCAUAGUGCUGAAUGGGGAAAUUUUACACUCAAUAUACAGCACAAUAUGUUGCAGCUUUGUCAUCCAUAGUUAACCCCAUUUGUGAAUAAACUAAUCAACAAAUUAACCUUAACUUAGGUUUUGUUUCCAUAGUGCUGAAUGGUGAAAUUUUACACCCAAUAUACAGCACAAAAUGUUGCAGCUUUGUCAUCCAUAGUUGACCCCAUUUGUGAAUAAACUAAUCAACAAAAUCACCUUAACUUAGGUUUUGUUUCCAUAGUGCUGAAUGGUGAAAUUUUACACCCAAUAUACAGCACAAUAUGUUGCAGCUUUGUCAUCCAUAGUUAACCCCAUUUGUGAAUAAAUUAAUCAACAAAAUAAAGAAAAUUAUUUCAAGUAUAGAUGCACUUAAUGAUUAAAAUAUAAUCUUCAGUAUCCUGAACUUAACCGUAGAUUGGUGCUUCAUCAGUUAUAUCAACAGUACUGUAAUCAUAAGAAUAUUAGAGUUAUUGGUCUGUACAGGAUUUUUCUUUUAUCAACUACUACUAUUUAACUACAGGAGAUCGUGGACUAGUCAUCGUAGGCCACAACAAAUAUUUGGAAUACGUUUUAAACCUGAUAAUGAGCUACAAAAUCACAGUAAAAUAACCUGUAAUUUUAAACUCUUCAUUCUGAAAUGUAUACUUUAACAGUGUAUCAUUUACAGUCUCUUUUAUUUAGUUUUGAGAGUAAGAUUAGAAACUGAACCUUCACUUUUCCUUGUGAUGCCUUAGGUAUUUAUUAAUGCAGUAGAAGUACAUAAAAUGUUUAUAUAGUCACCUUUGUUGCAUAAACCGAAACUGUUGAGAAAAAACACAGAAAUGACUGAGUUGCAUAUGAGGUAUUCUGCAUACACAGUUUAAAAUAUAUAUAUAACUCGUUUGAUAUAUGUUUCUUGUAUCUGUACUGAAUGCAAUGCAGCUUUAGUAACUUACCUUGAAUUUUACCUUUAAUCGUGUUGCAUACAUCUCGUUAAAAGUACCUGAUGAGUGUUAAAAUGUGAACUAGAUUGUGUUUUUACUACCAUGAAAAAGUCUUUGUUAAACUUUUUAAAACAGUGAUGUGUAGGAAGGGGUUUGUACCCCCCCACUAGCAAAUUGAAGAUGACUGUUGUAUGCACAAACAGUGAUAUUUCUUUGUAUAAGUAUGUUUAACCUAAGGAGAUGAAAACGUGGACCAAAGUUACCAUAGUGAAACAAACUGUUGAAAAUAUGAAGUUUUUUUUUUUAUAAUAUAUUAAAAUGUGGUCAGUGUGAAGAAAUUUAAUUUACACAUAGCUUACAAAAACACUUAACUUCAUCUGAUAUUUUUUGCUCCUUGACCGAUUUUAAUUAGAAAAUUCAUCAUUUCUCUGAGUAAGUUAUUUAACUCGUUAACUCAAAAAAUAGUUAAAAAGUUGUCCAAUUGCUUUUUGUAUGUUGGAAACAACAUAUUCUUAUACUUUAAUAAAGUAUUUAUUAACUGUUAGUUUAAAAUUCUUUAUUUUGGCUAAGAAGAAAAGUAAGUCGUAAUCUAAACAAGCAUACCUCAACCGUUUCCAUACCAGAGACUGGUGCUGUCGCCCUAGAUUAGCUGGAAUCAAUAAAAUGCAAGUAUAAUUAAAAACCAUUACAGAAUAUAUAUAUAUAUGAAUAUUCUUUCAAUUUUUGUUUGUAUAUUUGUUUUCUGGAAAUCCCACAGGCUGGUAAGGUGGCAGUCCACAGACUGAGGGUUGAGAAACACUGAUGUAAGCUAUUCUGCCACAUAUAAUUGAAUACUAAGAGAGAUAUUUUAUACACAAAACAGUACAUAUAGAUCUCCUAAUAAGUUCAUUUUUAAAACUUAACAUUCUUUUAAGAGUUUCUUUUAUAAUAGCUAUAAAACAUUAAAAUUUGAUGUUUUCAAGUUGUAAGGAUCAUUUUUUGUUCCAUGUACAUGUUUAGACAUGACGUACAGAAAGUUUCAGAAUUUGAAGGAUUUAUAUCGUUAAAACAUCUCUACUGUUUUUGGUUUGUAAAGGUCCUUUGUAGUUGUUGAUUUUAACCCAUUACUACAUUUUCAUUCUACAUGAUACCUUGGUAAAGUUGAAAUGAGUGUGUGUUUUGUGUAAUAAAAAAUACUGACUUUGUUGCAA